UACGGGGGGAGCAAGCGUUGUUCGGAUUUACUGGGCGUAAAGGGCGCGUAGGCGGCGCAACAAGUCACUUGUGAAAUCUCCGGGCUUAACUCGGAGCGGCCAAGUGAUACUGUCGUGCUAGAGUGCGGAAGGGGCAACUGGAAUUCUCGGUGUAGCGGUGAAAUGCGUAGAGAUCGGGAAGAAUACCGGUGGCGAAGGCGUUCCGCUGGGCCGUUGCUGACGCUGAGGCGCGACAGCGUGGGGAGCAAACAGG
This 253-nucleotide ribosomal RNA is filed under the name uncultured prokaryote. RNAcentral describes it as "partial 16S ribosomal RNA". It matches the Rfam family "Bacterial small subunit ribosomal RNA", at positions 524 to 776 of the family's 1533-position model. The record is from RNAcentral.